UACUGUGCCCUCCUAUCCAUGG
Molecule: microRNA, 22 nt
Filed under: Canis lupus familiaris (dog)
Lineage: Eukaryota; Metazoa; Chordata; Mammalia; Carnivora; Canidae
Description: cfa-miR-8821 (MIR8821)
Source: RNAcentral